UGAAUACGAGACGCUAAGGCGUCGAAGUAGUGUAUGUCAUACUUCCAAGAAAAGCUUGCACUGUCAUAAGUAAAAAAUGCCUGUACCAUAACCGACACAGGUGGGUAGGUAGAGUAUACUAAGGGGCGCGAGAUAACUCUCUCUAAGGAACUCGGCAAAAUAACUCCGUAACUUCGGGAGAAGGAGUACCUUAUUCUAUAAGGUUGCAAUAACAAGAUCCAAGCAACUGUUUAUCAAAAACACAGGUCUCCGCUAAGUCGUAAGACGAUGUAUGGGGGCUGACGCCUGCCCAGUGCCAGAAGGUUGAAGAAGUCGGUUAGCAUUAGCGAAGCUGGUAACUGAAGCCCUGGUGAACGGCGGCCGUAACAAUAACGGUCCUAAGGUAGCGAAAUUCCUUGUCGGGUAAGUUCCGACCCGCACGAAAGGCGUAAUGAUUUGGAUACUGUCUCGGAGAGGGGCUCGGUGAAAUAGACUUGUCUGUGAAGAUGCGGACUACCUGCACCAGGACAGAAAGACCCUAUGAAGCUUUACUGUAACUUGAAAUUGAAAUUGGACUUUAUUCGCGCAGUAUAGGUGGGAGGUGUUGAUUAUAAUCUUGCGGGAUUAUUGGAGCCAUCAGUGAGAUACCACUCUUGUAAUGUUAGAUUUCUAACUUUGAAUCAUUAUCUGGUCAAAGGACAGUUUCAGGCGGGCAGUUUGACUGGGGCGGUCGCCUCCCAAACGGUAACGGAGGCGUACAAAGGUUUCCUCUGAACGGGUAGAAAUCGUAUCUAGAGUGUAAAGGCAUAAGGAAGCUUGACUGUGAGACCUACAAGUCGAACAGGGACGAAAGUCGGUCUUAGUGAUCUGACGGUACUGAGUGGAAAGGCCGUCACUCAACGGAUAAAAGUUACUCUAGGAUAACAGGCUGAUCUCCCCCAAGAGUUCACAUCGACGGGGAGGUUUGGCACCUGGAUGUCGGCUCAUCGCAUCCUGGGGCGGUAGUACGUCCCAAGGGUUGGGCUGUUCGCCCAUGAAAGCGGUACGCGAGCUGGGUUCAGAACGUCGUGAGACAGUUCGGUCCAUAUCCGGUGUAGGCGUUAGAAUAUUGAGAGGAGCCUUCUUUAGUACGAGAGGACCGAGAAGGACAUACCUCUGGUGUACCAGUUAUCGUGCCAACGGUAAACGCUGGGUAGCUAUGUAUGGAGUGGAUAACCGCUGAAAGCAUCUAAGUGGGAAGCCCACCUCAAGAUAAGUAUUCU
RNAcentral lists this ribosomal RNA (1241 nucleotides) under metagenome. RNAcentral describes it as "bacterial LSU rRNA". It matches the Rfam family "Bacterial large subunit ribosomal RNA", at positions 1564 to 2814 of the family's 2925-position model. The record is from RNAcentral.